GUGGGGAAUUUUGGACAAUGGGCGCAAGCCUGAUCCAGCAAUGCCGCGUGAGUGAAGAAGGCCUUCGGGUUGUAAAGCUCUUUUGUCAGGGAAGAAACGGCUGCGGCUAAUAUCUGCGGCUAAUGACGGUACCUGAAGAAUAAGCACCGGCUAACUACGUGCCAGCAGCCGCGGUAAUACGUAGGGUGCAAGCGUUAAUCGGAAUUACUGGGCGUAAAGCGUGCGCAGGCGGUUUUGUAAGUCUGACGUGAAAGCCCCGGGCUCAACCUGGGAAUUGCGUUGGAGACUGCAAGGCUUGAAUCUGGCAGAGGGGGGUAGAAUUCCACGUGUAGCAGUGAAAUGCGUAGAGAUGUGGAGGAACACCGAUGGCGAAGGCAGCCCCCUGGGUCAAGAUUGACGCUCAUGCACGAAAGCGUGGGGAGCAAACAGGAUUAGAAACCCUAGUAGUCC
RNAcentral lists this ribosomal RNA (450 nucleotides) under uncultured bacterium. Its description in RNAcentral is "bacterial SSU rRNA". It matches the Rfam family "Bacterial small subunit ribosomal RNA", at positions 354 to 796 of the family's 1533-position model. The record is from RNAcentral.